GAAGUCCGCCGGACCGCCGCUGGUGCAUGUCUCGAAAGAGCGCACUGGAGGAACGUCCGGACUGCACAGGACAGCGCAGGAGCUAACGGCUCUCCACCGCGAGGUGAGGAUCAGAGCAACAGAGACGAGUCUGAGCGGGUACAGGCCACCGAAGGUGUUCUGUGGGUGCCGGCGAAAGCCGGCAGUCGGCUGGCGCAAGCCAGUCGGCCCGGGCGCAAGCCCGGAGCCCACAGCCACCCUGGGCAGGCGGCGCCUGCCCAGGGUGAAACGGGCAAUCUCUGCGCGCAGCAACACCAAGUAGGCCAGCGUCGAUGUGGUUCCGCAGAGCUGGCGGGUAGGUGGCAUCGAGCCGGGUGGGCGACCCCCGGCCCAGAGUAAUGGCGGUCACGCCGGGCGACCGCAAGGGCGCCCGGUGCACAGAAUCCGGCUUACAGGCGGACUUCACAC
Xylophilus sp. Leaf220 is the source of this 447-nucleotide non-coding RNA. It matches the Rfam family "Bacterial RNase P class A". From Rfam's summary of the family: Ribonuclease P (RNase P) is a ubiquitous endoribonuclease, found in archaea, bacteria and eukarya as well as chloroplasts and mitochondria. Its best characterised activity is the generation of mature 5'-ends of tRNAs by cleaving the 5'-leader elements of precursor-tRNAs. Cellular RNase Ps are ribonucleoproteins. The record is from Rfam. Lineage: Bacteria; Pseudomonadati; Pseudomonadota; Betaproteobacteria; Burkholderiales.